This 945-nucleotide long non-coding RNA is filed under the name Gallus gallus (chicken). RNAcentral's name for it is "lncRNA (ENSGALG00010021312.1)". The record is from RNAcentral. Lineage: Eukaryota; Metazoa; Chordata; Aves; Galliformes; Phasianidae.
CCAUACACCAGACGGGCAAAGAAAUUUUGCUGGGAAAGCAAAAGAAAAAAAAAAGCAGGUUUAGUUCCCAAAGCUAGAAAUUGUGGUUCUCCUGCCUCGUUGUCUUGGUGUUCCCAGGAUGGAAGGACAGCGCUGCCUCUUUGCUUUUCACCCCAGGACAGAUUAAACCAGAAGCUGGCCAUGUUUGUUUAACCUCAAGCUUUGCUGAACUGGCAUGCCUGAACAGCCCUCAGCACUGCCAGAGCCGCAGAUGCUAAGGUAACAGGAGAAGAGCAGAAAGCUGCAGCCUGUUGCUAAGACAAGGCAGCUUCCAAGUCCUGACCAUGACCACAACAGGCACCCCACGUGGAAGAGAAACUCCAAUGAAAGAGAACAUGGCUGUGAGUUUAUGCUGGCAUCUUUGACAGCACUUCUAAAGGCAAGGAGAAAAGGCUGUGAGAGAUGGGAACAGAGAGGUUAUCAUCACAGAGAAAGAUCUAGGGGAAAUUUCAGGUUGCAUUUCAGCUGGCAAAGAAACAAACCUAUGCAUACACUACUGUACACAUACAGUGACACAGCCAAAGAUACAGAUAAUACCAGUUACAACUAAAAUUUUUUAACAGUUUGCUCAAUCUUUUGCAACAGUUAUGUCUCUUAGUGGAAAUAUUUGCAAAAGCCAAGCACAGCACCAGUACUAAACAUGGACCCAUGAAAGAAGAACAUGGGCUUGGGAUGGAGCUACAGGUCCUGCUGCAUUGGCCCCCGUCUGAUCUUCAGAAUUUCUGCUUUGUGCCCAGCCAACAAGGUACAGAAGCAGUCAAGCAGGAGGACAAGUUCUCAGGAUCUGCCUAUCAUCUUUCCCUGCCUGGAAGGAAGCACAUCUCCCGGAUGAUCAGAAGUGUCCAGAAAUCACAAUGGGAGGUUAAAAUGUAUAGAUGUGUGGAAGGUUUGUCUUGGAACUGCACA